AAAAAAAUCUAGGCAAAAAAAAAAGCCUAAUCAUUAAAAAAGUUUUGGUCAUGGAACCCGAAAUUCAGUGAUCUAACCAUGAGCAAGUUGAAGGAGCUGUAAAAGGUUUCUGGAGGACCUAAGCCGUUCCUGUGGCAAUAGGAUGGUGUGACUUGUGGUUAGGAGUGAAAGGCUAAUCAAACUAGAUUAUAGCUGGUUUUUGGCGAAAAGGAUUUAUGUCCUGCGUAUAGAAUGUGGUUUAAGCGUUAGGGCUAUUCAUGACUUUUGCCAAAGGCAAUAUUUAUUUAUGAAAACUGUUAAUACUUAAACACUCUCCUAUAUAGUUAGACUUUGAGCUAUAAGGUCCAAAGUCGAAAGGGAAACAGCCCAGCUCUAUAGCUAAGGUCUCAAAGCACAAACUAAUUGGAAUAUUCGGUAUAAGCGCCUUGACAAUCAGGAUUUUGGCUUGGAAGCAGCCACUUUUUAAAGAUAGCGUAGUAGCUCACUGAUAGAGCGCUUAUGCGAUAAAUAUAAACGAGGCUAAAGUUUGUCACCGAUGCUUAGAUU
RNAcentral lists this ribosomal RNA (546 nucleotides) under Jenufa perforata. RNAcentral describes it as "large subunit ribosomal RNA". It matches the Rfam family "Bacterial large subunit ribosomal RNA", at positions 654 to 1207 of the family's 2925-position model. The record is from RNAcentral. Lineage: Eukaryota; Viridiplantae; Chlorophyta; Chlorophyceae.